Molecule: ribosomal RNA, 982 nt
Filed under: human gut metagenome
Description: bacterial LSU rRNA
Rfam family: Bacterial large subunit ribosomal RNA
Source: RNAcentral
ACGGUCCUAAGGUAGCGAAAUUCCUUGUCGGGUAAGUUCCGACCCGCACGAAAGGCGUAAUGAUUUGAGCGCUGUCUCGACAAUGCAUCCGGUGAAAUUGAAGUACCAGUGAAGAUGCUGGUUACCUGCGCCAGGACGGAAAGACCCCAUGGAGCUUUACUCCAGCUUGAUACUGGGAUUCGAUACUGUAUGUACAGGAUAGGUGGGAGACGUUGAGCAUAGAACGCCAGUUUUAUGUGAGUCGCUGUUGGGAUACCACCCUUGCAGUAUUGGAUUUCUAACCUGCACCCAUGACCUGGGUGGGGGACAAUGUCUGGCGGGGAGUUUGACUGGGGCGGUCGCCUCCGAAAGGGUAUCGGAGGCGCUCAAAGGUUCCCUCAGAAUGGUUGGAAACCAUUCGAAGAGUGCAAAGGCAGAAGGGAGCUUGACUGCGACACCGACGGGUGGAGCAGGUACGAAAGUAGGACUUAGUGAUCCGGUGGUAUAAAGUGGGAUUGCCAUCGCUCAACGGAUAAAAGCUACCCUGGGGAUAACAGGCUUAUCACUCCCAAGAGUUCACAUCGACGGAGUGGUUUGGCACCUCGAUGUCGGCUCAUCGCAUCCUGGGGCUGUAGUAGGUCCCAAGGGUUGGGCUGUUCGCCCAUUAAAGCGGUACGCGAGCUGGGUUCAGAACGUCGUGAGACAGUUCGGUCCUUAUCUAUCGCAGGCGUAAGAUAUUUGAAGAGUGCUGUCCUUAGUACGAGAGGACCAGGAUGGACAUACCGAUGGUGUAUCAGUUGUCACACCAGUGGCACGGCUGAGUAGCUAAGUAUGGAAGGGAUAAACGCUGAAAGCAUCUAAGUGUGAAGCCCACCUCAAGAUGAGAUUUCCCAUGAUUUUAUAUCAGUAAGAGCCCUGAGAGAUGAUCAGGUUGAUAGGUUAGAAGUGGAAGUGUGGUGACACAUGUAGCGGACUAAUACUAAUAGCUCGAGGACUUAUCCAA